UACGUAGGGAGCAAGCGUUAUCCGGAAUUAUUGGGUGUAAAGGGUGCGUAGAUGGGAGAACAAGUUAGUUGUGAAAGCCCUCGGCUUAACUGAGGAACUGCAACUAAAACUAUUUUUCUUGAGUGCAGGAGAGGAAAGCGGAAUUCCUAGUGUAGCGGUGAAAUGCGUAGAUAUUAGGAGGAACACCAGUGGCGAAGGCGGCUUUCUGGACUGUAACUGACAUUGAGGCACGAAAGUGUGGGGAGCAAAC
RNAcentral lists this ribosomal RNA (250 nucleotides) under uncultured prokaryote. RNAcentral's name for it is "partial 16S ribosomal RNA". It matches the Rfam family "Bacterial small subunit ribosomal RNA", at positions 524 to 773 of the family's 1533-position model. The record is from RNAcentral.